RNAcentral lists this unclassified non-coding RNA (569 nucleotides) under uncultured fungus. RNAcentral describes it as "sequence contains ITS1, 5.8S rRNA gene and ITS2". The stretch from base 206 to 359 matches the Rfam family "5.8S ribosomal RNA". The record is from RNAcentral. Lineage: Eukaryota; Fungi.
CUUGGUCAUUUAGAGGAAGUAAAAGUCGUAACAAGGUCUCCGUUGGUGAACCAGCGGAGGGAUCAUUACCGAGUUUCUACUCUAAACCCUGCGAACCUACCAUUACGUGCUUCGGCGGCCAGCCCCGGGGGGGGCCCUACGGCCGCCGAUAGUACCCAAAAAUCACUUUUCAGAGUCUUCUGAGUGACAAAAAAAAACAAGUCAAAACCUUCAACAACGGAUCUCUUGGUUCUGGCAUCGAUGAAGAACGCAGCGAAAUGCGAUACGUAAUGUGAAUUGCAGAAUUCCGUGAAUCAUCGAAUCUUUGAACGCACAUUGCACCCGGUGGUAUUCCGCCGGGUAUGCCUGUCUGAGCGUCAUUUCUACCCUCAAGCCUCGCUUGGUGUUGGCGGAUCGCCCGCUGCGGCGACCGCUAAAAAUCAACGGCGGUAGCGCCCGUGUCCCCUGUAUAGUACAUUUCUUGCAGCGGUCUGCGGGGGCCCACCAGCCUCGUACCCCACCAAAACGAAAGUUGACCUCAGAUCAGGUAGGAAUACCCGCUGAACUUAAGCAUAUCAAUAAGCGGAGGA